RNAcentral lists this ribosomal RNA (395 nucleotides) under uncultured bacterium. RNAcentral's name for it is "partial 16S ribosomal RNA". It matches the Rfam family "Bacterial small subunit ribosomal RNA", at positions 338 to 730 of the family's 1533-position model. The record is from RNAcentral.
CCUACGGGUGGCAGCAGUGAGGAAUAUUGGUCAAUGGGCGUAAGCCUGAACCAGCCAAGUCGCGUGAGGGAUGAAGGUUCUAUGGAUCGUAAACCUCUUUUAUAAGGGAAUAAAGUGCGGGACGUGUCCCGUUUGGUAUGUACCUUGUGAAUAAGGAUCGGCUAACUCCGUGCCCGCAGCCGGAGUAAUACAGAGGAUCCGAGCGUUAUCCGGAUUUUUUGGGUUUAAAGGGUUCGUAGGAGGGCUUUUAAUGUAGCGGUGAAAGUCUGUGGGUCCACCACGGGAGGGCCGUUGAAACUGGGGGGCUUGAGUGUGUUUGAAGCAGGCGGAAUGCGUGGUGUAGCGGUGAAAUGCAUAGAUAUCACGCAGAACCCCGAUUGCGAAGGCAGCCUGCC